AAAGUCUAAUCUGCUCACUGAGUAAUUAAAGAGCCGCAGUAUACUGACUGUGCAAAGGUAGCAUAAUCAAUAGUUUUUUAAUUGGAAACUUGUAUGAAAGAUUGGACGAAAGUUUAAUUUUCUUUAUUAUAGUAAGUUGAAUUUAAAUUUUAAGUGAAAAUGCUUAAAUUAAAUUAAAAGACGAGAAGACCCUAUAGAUUUUUAUUAUUAAAAUAAAUUAUAUAUUUUUUGUUUAUGAAAAUAAUUUAAUUGGGGCGAUUUUGUAAUAUAUAAAACUUAAUUUUUUAAAACCAUAAAUAAUUGAAUUUUUUGAUCUAAAUUUUUUAAUGGAAAGAUUAAAUUACCUUAGGGAUAACAGCGUAAUUUUAUUUAAGAGUUCAUAUCUAUAAUAAAGUUCGCGACCUCGAUGUUGAAUUAAGAUAAUGUAUUGGAGUAGAAAUUAAUAUAAUUAGUCUGUUCGACUAUUAAAUUCU
RNAcentral lists this ribosomal RNA (473 nucleotides) under Psocidae sp. KY352. Its description in RNAcentral is "partial 16S ribosomal RNA". The stretch from base 351 to 473 matches the Rfam family "Bacterial large subunit ribosomal RNA", at positions 2473 to 2596 of the family's 2925-position model. Lineage: Eukaryota; Metazoa; Arthropoda; Insecta; Psocodea; Psocidae. The record is from RNAcentral.